This 382-nucleotide ribosomal RNA is filed under the name uncultured eukaryote. Its description in RNAcentral is "partial 18S ribosomal RNA". It matches the Rfam family "Eukaryotic small subunit ribosomal RNA", at positions 592 to 976 of the family's 1831-position model. The record is from RNAcentral.
CAAUAGCGUAUAUUAAAGUUGUUGCAGUUAAAAAGCUCGUAGUUGGAUUUCUGGUUGAAGCGACCGGUCGGGCGUUGAUUCGUCUGCACUGGAGUCGGUUUUGGCCAUCCUCUAGGAAAGUGCGUCUGGUAUUAAGUUAUCGGGCGUAUGAUCCUGGUCUUUUACUGUGAAAAAAUUAGAGUGUUUAAAGCAGGCCUUCGCCUUGAAUACAUUAGUAUGGAAUAAUAAGAUAGGACUUUGAUCUAUUUUGUUGGUUUGCAGACCGAAGUAAUGAUUAAUAGGGAUAGUUGGGGGUAUUUAUAUUCCGAUGUCAGAGGUGAAAUUCUUAGAUUUUCGGAAGAUAAACUUAUGCGAAAGCAUUUACCAAGGAUGUUUNCAUUAA